Molecule: ribosomal RNA, 1963 nt
Filed under: Escherichia coli
Lineage: Bacteria; Pseudomonadati; Pseudomonadota; Gammaproteobacteria; Enterobacterales; Enterobacteriaceae
Description: bacterial LSU rRNA
Rfam family: Bacterial large subunit ribosomal RNA
Source: RNAcentral
GACACACGGCGGGUGCUAACGUCCGUCGUGAAGAGGGAAACAACCCAGACCGCCAGCUAAGGUCCCAAAGUCAUGGUUAAGUGGGAAACGAUGUGGGAAGGCCCAGACAGCCAGGAUGUUGGCUUAGAAGCAGCCAUCAUUUAAAGAAAGCGUAAUAGCUCACUGGUCGAGUCGGCCUGCGCGGAAGAUGUAACGGGGCUAAACCAUGCACCGAAGCUGCGGCAGCGACGCUGAUGCGUUGUUGGGUAGGGGAGCGUUCUGUAAGCCUGUGAAGGUGUGCUGUGAGGCAUGCUGGAGGUAUCAGAAGUGCGAAUGCUGACAUAAGUAACGAUAAAGCGGGUGAAAAGCCCGCUCGCCGGAAGACCAAGGGUUCCUGUCCAACGUUAAUCGGGGCAGGGUGAGUCGACCCCUAAGGCGAGGCCGAAAGGCGUAGUCGAUGGGAAACAGGUUAAUAUUCCUGUACUUGGUGUUACUGCGAAGGGGGGACGGAGAAGGCUAUGUUGGCCGGGCGACGGUUGUCCCGGUUUAAGCGUGUAGGCUGGUUUUCCAGGCAAAUCCGGAAAAUCAAGGCUGAGGCGUGAUGACGAGGCACUACGGUGCUGAAGCAACAAAUGCCCUGCUUCCAGGAAAAGCCUCUAAGCAUCAGGUAACAUCAAAUCGUACCCCAAACCGACACAGGUGGUCAGGUAGAGAAUACCAAGGCGCUUGAGAGAACUCGGGUGAAGGAACUAGGCAAAAUGGUGCCGUAACUUCGGGAGAAGGCACGCUGAUAUGUAGGUGAAGUCCCUCGCGGAUGGAGCUGAAAUCAGUCGAAGAUACCAGCUGGCUGCAACUGUUUAUUAAAAACACAGCACUGUGCAAACACGAAAGUGGACGUAUACGGUGUGACGCCUGCCCGGUGCCGGAAGGUUAAUUGAUGGGGUUAGCGCAAGCGAAGCUCUUGAUCGAAGCCCCGGUAAACGGCGGCCGUAACUAUAACGGUCCUAAGGUAGCGAAAUUCCUUGUCGGGUAAGUUCCGACCUGCACGAAUGGCGUAAUGAUGGCCAGGCUGUCUCCACCCGAGACUCAGUGAAAUUGAACUCGCUGUGAAGAUGCAGUGUACCCGCGGCAAGACGGAAAGACCCCGUGAACCUUUACUAUAGCUUGACACUGAACAUUGAGCCUUGAUGUGUAGGAUAGGUGGGAGGCUUUGAAGUGUGGACGCCAGUCUGCAUGGAGCCGACCUUGAAAUACCACCCUUUAAUGUUUGAUGUUCUAACGUUGACCCGUGAUCCGGGUUGCGGACAGUGUCUGGUGGGUAGUUUGACUGGGGCGGUCUCCUCCUAAAGAGUAACGGAGGAGCACGAAGGUUGGCUAAUCCUGGUCGGACAUCAGGAGGUUAGUGCAAUGGCAUAAGCCAGCUUGACUGCGAGCGUGACGGCGCGAGCAGGUGCGAAAGCAGGUCAUAGUGAUCCGGUGGUUCUGAAUGGAAGGUCCAUCGCUCAACGGAUAAAAGGUACUCCGGGGAUAACAGGCUGAUACCGCCCAAGAGUUCAUAUCGACGGCGGUGUUUGGCACCUCGAUGUCGGCUCAUCACAUCCUGGGGCUGAAGUAGGUCCCAAGGGUAUGGCUGUUCGCCAUUUAAAGUGGUACGCGAGCUGGGUUUAGAACGUCGUGAGACAGUUCGGUCCCUAUCUGCCGUGGGCGCUGGAGAACUGAGGGGGGCUGCUCCUAGUACGAGAGGACCGGAGUGGACGCAUCACUGGUGUUCGGGUUGUCAUGCCAAUGGCACUGCCCGGUAGCUAAAUGCGGAAGAGAUAAGUGCUGAAAGCAUCUAAGCACGAAACUUGCCCCGAGAUGAGUUCUCCCUGACCCUUUAAGGGUCCUGAAGGAACGUUGAAGACGACGACGUUGAUAGGCCGGGUGUGUAAGCGCAGCGAUGCGUUGAGCUAACCGGUACUAAUGAACCGUGAGGCUUAACCUU